Molecule: ribosomal RNA, 255 nt
Filed under: uncultured bacterium
Lineage: Bacteria
Description: partial 16S ribosomal RNA
Rfam family: Bacterial small subunit ribosomal RNA
Source: RNAcentral
UACGUAGGGCGCAAGCGUUGUCCGGAAUUAUUGGGCGUAAAGAGCUCGUAGGCGGUUUGUCGCGUCUGCUGUGAAAACCUAAGGCUCAACCUUGGGCUUGCAGUGGGUACGGGCAGACUAGAGUGCGGUAGGGGUGACUGGAAUUCCUGGUGUAGCGGUGGAAUGCGCAGAUAUCAGGAGGAACACCGAUGGCGAAGGCAGGUCACUGGGCCGCAAACUGACGCUGGAGGAGCGAAAGCAUGGGGAGCAAACAGG